RNAcentral lists this ribosomal RNA (448 nucleotides) under uncultured bacterium. RNAcentral describes it as "bacterial SSU rRNA". It matches the Rfam family "Bacterial small subunit ribosomal RNA", at positions 29 to 524 of the family's 1533-position model. The record is from RNAcentral.
AGCGAACGCUGGCGGCAGGCCUAACACAUGCAAGUCGAACGGAUCCUUCGGGAUUAGUGGCGGACGGGUGAGGAACACGUGGGAACGUGCCUUUUGGUUCGGAACAACUCAGGGAAACUUGAGCUAAUACCGGAUGUGCCCUUCGGGGGAAGAUUUAUCGCCAUUAGAGCGGCCCGCGUCUGAUUAGCUAGUUGGUGGGGUAAAGGCUCACCAAGGCUACGAUCAGUAGCUGGUCUGAGAGGAUGAUCAGCCACACUGGGACUGAGACACGGCCCAGACUCCUACGGGAGGCAGCAGUGGGGAAUCUUGCGCAAUGGGCGAAAGCCUGACGCAGCCAUGCCGCGUGAAUGAUGAAGGUCUUAGGAUUGUAAAUUCUUUUACCCGGGAUGAUAAUGACAGUACCGGGAGAAUAAGCCCCGGCUAACUCCGUGCCAGCAGCCGCGGUAAU